Molecule: ribosomal RNA, 446 nt
Filed under: uncultured bacterium
Lineage: Bacteria
Description: bacterial SSU rRNA
Rfam family: Bacterial small subunit ribosomal RNA
Source: RNAcentral
GAUCCUGGCUCAGAACGAACGCUGGCGGCAUGCCUAACACAUGCAAGUCGAACGAACCCUUCGGGGUUAGUGGCGCACGGGUGCGUAACGCGUGGGGAUCUGCCCUUUGCUUCGGAAUAACAGUUAGAAAUGACUGCUAAUACCGGAUGAUGUCGCAAGACCAAAGAUUUAUCGGCAAAGGAUGAACCCGCGUAGGAUUAGCUAGUUGGUGGGGUAAAGGCCUACCAAGGCGACGAUCCUUAGCUGGUCUGAGAGGAUGAUCAGCCACACUGGGACUGAGACACGGCCCAGACUCCUACGGGAGGCAGCAGUGGGGAAUAUUGGACAAUGGGCGAAAGCCUGAUCCAGCAAUGCCGCGUGAGUGAUGAAGGCCUUCGGGUUGUAAAGCUCUUUUACCAGGGAUGAUAAUGACAGUACCUGGAGAAUAAGCUCCGGCUAACUCCGUG